Long non-coding RNA from Oncorhynchus tshawytscha (Chinook salmon), 1640 nucleotides. The record is from Ensembl. Lineage: Eukaryota; Metazoa; Chordata; Actinopteri; Salmoniformes; Salmonidae.
CACAGGGAAGGGCUGCAAGUACAAAGUCCUGCACCAGACUGCAAUCUAUCAGAGCAACUUUCAGUUCACUCCAGCCUCUUUCUUUGGGUUGUUUUUGAUGGUUGACAUUUUUCUGUUCUAUUUGCGUAAGGAUUUUUUAGUUUUUAUAUUAUAAAACUGCAUCCAAGCUUCCUGGCGUGCUGUGCCCUACCCCUAAAAAGUGGGCUUCCUUUUGAAUGAAUGCACUCCUGCCACUUCCAUAAUCUCUGACUCAUAAUCCAUUGUACAGUUGGGAAGUGUCUUGUGGGUACCAGUGCGUGUCGGUCCACUUCCAGACCCCGCAGCCGGUCAAUGUUCUCCCAGCCGGACGUCUAGUUCUCCAGGUCCAGAUCGACCGCGGUCCCAAAGAAAAGAUCUCCAUGAUAAACUGGGAGCGGGAGCCAGAGAACGCAAAGACCCCAGGGAAUCCUGGGAAGGUGACGUUGAUUACGUUCCCCGGUCAAGAAAAACGCUUGGACGGGCGUCUGAGUUUGGAGGAGCAGGGGUCAAUACUGAAGCUGGAGGGCUUUGGCGUGGCAGACAGUGGGGUGUACAUCGUGACCGUCACUGACCAGGCUGGCGUCAAGACCUCUGGACAGUGUACCGUCAAGGAGUACGAGGCUGUGCACCACCCCUCAGUGAGAGUGAAUGUGUCCCACUCCUCCCUGUUCUGUGUGGAGACCUGGGGGACAGACCUUAAAUUCAGCUGGCUCCACGAGCGGGCAGCCAUAACCGAUGCUGUGGGACACGUUUCGCCUGAUGGGAAGACCCUCGUCGUCUCCUCCGCCCCCAUCUGUGGUCACUUCACCUGCAUGGUGAGCAACAAGCUGGGCCACAGCUCUGCCACCUACACAGCAGAGCCGUGUGAGAGAGAGGGCAAGAGGACCACGGUGGCGGUGGUCUCUCUCAUCAUCUUGCUGGUCUGUGGAGCAGCGCUCGCUUUUCUACUGUGGAGGAGACACAGGCGAUACAGUAACAGAGGCGAGAGGCUUCAGGAGCAUUUUGAGGACAACUUGUAAUGGUGAACCAUUGAUACCAGUACCCAAGGUAUUUCGCUACACUCCCCAACUCAAAGAUGGACUCAUAAAAGGACAGUAAGUGUACAAAACGCUUUGGGAGGAGCUUCCUUCCCUGUGAGCAGCAUGACCUUUCAGUGCAUUGGAACAAUGUGGAGAGUGAACUGCUUGUUGGCCAAUUGACGAGUUCUAAAAAUGGAAAGAGCAACUUUUGCCCGGUGUGUUGCCUGUUUUUGUAGUAGCUAUCAUUUUUACACCGCCUCGCAUUGUACUGAACUACACACUACUUUUUUUUAUAUAAUGCUCUAAAAUAAUUUGUUUUAAAUGAAAAACAAUUCCGUAUUUUGUAACUUUUGUAUAUUAUAAACAUUUUGUAUAUUUAGCUGUGUAUUCUUUGUAAUAAAAAGCACAUUUUAAACUGUGUGAAGCUUUGGUUAAAUUGAUCGCUAUUGUAAAUCCACAAUUCAGUCAGGGAAUGGGAGUCAAAGUACAAGACCUCUAUACAUAGUGAAUUUCAAAAUGAUUUGUGGCCAUGAAUAAAAGUGUGCGUGUGUGAGUUCAUGUGUGUGUCCACCUCAUCAGUACACCUCUCUGGUCAAGCCGGGC